RNAcentral lists this long non-coding RNA (279 nucleotides) under Elaeis guineensis (African oil palm). RNAcentral describes it as "long non-coding RNA (EGUI_LNC017212)". Lineage: Eukaryota; Viridiplantae; Streptophyta; Magnoliopsida; Arecales; Arecaceae. The record is from RNAcentral.
UUUACUUAAUGAAAUAAAUUUUAUUUUCUUCACUUCAUUGUUAGUUUCAAAUCAUUGAGGUUGUAGUCGAAUCUUUAACUCGUAAUUGAAGUAGAUUUAGGUUCGAACAUAACCUAAGUCCAAUUUAGCCCUUUGGGGCUGGUCAUUGAAGUAGCCAAAGUAGAUUUAGGUUUAAAACAAAAUUGAAGUCUGAUUUAGCCCUUUGGGGAUGGUCGUCGAAGUAGCCAAAGUAGAUUUAGGUUCAAAAUAGAACUGAAGUCUGAUUUAGCCCUUUGAGCC